This is a long non-coding RNA of Esox lucius (northern pike), 1284 nucleotides long. The record is from Ensembl. NCBI's taxonomy places the organism in Eukaryota, Metazoa, Chordata, Actinopteri, Esociformes, Esocidae.
GCUUUAUAUGGAAAACUAAAAAAGUAAUUACAUUUAAAAAUUAUUACAUUACUCUUAAAAAUACACACACUAAUGUAAUUCGUUUAAAAAAAAAGGUCCUUCAUGUAAAUUUUAACAAAUUUAAAGACAGUUUCAAUUAACUGAGAAACUGUAUGCCCUCACCAUUACUGUAGACAAAAAUGCAACAUACAUCGCAAAUAAGAAACAGUCACACACUAAAGAAUUUCCAAGGAAAUGUUAUCACAAAAUAUAUCUCAGUAAAAACAUUUUAAAAAAAAAACACUGGACAAAACAUUCAACAAAUAAUGAUAUUCCUACAACAGAUUUACAUGGAUUAUUUUUUUCUUUAACGUUGUCUGGGCAUAAGUUACUUUAUCUUACAUUCCACACCAUGUCAAGGUCAGACAUUUUGUUUUUCUUUGACAAUGGCGAGGAGUGGUGUCACCUCUACACUUGCCCUCAGGCUAGAGUCCUUAACAUAAUCUGAAAUGUGCAUGGAUUCCCACAGGCAGAAAUCAGGGAGUGGACAAAAUUACAGAAACACCACAUGGGAAAGGACCGUUACUUUAGUAACUAAACCACAAUCACAAACCUUCCGAGGUCACAUCAAGUUCAUUGCCAUUUAGCAUGACAUACUGACAGGUGACAAGAAAACUCAAUAAAUGAUGGGAUGAACAUCAAUGCAGAUGCCUUCCUGUAAGUGCAUGAUAUAUUUAAGGAGGUAUUAAAAUACAGAGCAGGCCCAGGUGACCUAGAUUUUGGAUCAAGACGGCAAGAGGAAAAGGGAUCUAAGGGACUGGAUUCAGAUCUAAGGGACUGGAUUCAGAUCUAAGGGACUGGAUUCAGAUCUAAGGGACUGGAUUCAGAUCUAAGGGACUGGAUUCAGAUCUAAGGGACUGGAUUCAGAUCUAAGGGACUCCAUUGUUGGGGCACAGUCACAAAGACUGCUCAGCUAGACAGUGUUUCAACAGGAAGUGACUAAAGUUACUCCUAUAUUUAGAUCAAUAGGACAGCAAAAUGUGUUGGAUAUUGUGGUCGAAAGCACACAUUCGAUGAAUGUUAUACUGCGAUAUGUCAGGUAUAACAGGAAAUGCAACAAUUUCUCAGGUGACUGAGAAUGUUAAUGCAGGACGUGAUCAGACUGUCAGCAAGAACAGUCCAUGGAGAACUACAGAGGGACAUUAUAGUACAACUACACAGAGAGGGACAUUAUAGUACAACUACACAGAGAGGGACAUUAUAGUACAACUACUCAGAGGGACAUUAUAGUACAACUACUCAGAG